AACGAACGCUGGCGGCAGGCUUAACACAUGCAAGUCGAACGCCCCGCAAGGGGAGUGGCAGACGGGUGAGUAACGCGUGGGAAUCUACCUGAUACUACGGAACAACUGAGGGAAACUUCAGCCAAUACCGUAUACGCCCUAAGGGGGAAAGAUUUAUCGGUAUCAGAUGAGCCCGCGUUGGAUUAGCUAGUUGGUGGGGU
This 200-nucleotide ribosomal RNA is filed under the name uncultured bacterium. Its description in RNAcentral is "partial 16S ribosomal RNA". It matches the Rfam family "Bacterial small subunit ribosomal RNA", at positions 29 to 258 of the family's 1533-position model. The record is from RNAcentral.